RNAcentral lists this small nucleolar RNA (133 nucleotides) under Nannospalax galili (Upper Galilee mountains blind mole rat). The record is from RNAcentral. Lineage: Eukaryota; Metazoa; Chordata; Mammalia; Rodentia; Spalacidae.
CCCCUUUUAAAAGCACUCAAUGGGCCUUUUGCUAGUGACCCAUUGAGCCGUCAAGAAGGGGCAGAGUAAAAACUCCGCUUUUGGGUGAAGUAGCAACUUGUGUUGUUUUACUUCAAUCGGUGUUGUGACAAGA